This 460-nucleotide ribosomal RNA is filed under the name uncultured bacterium. Its description in RNAcentral is "partial 16S ribosomal RNA". It matches the Rfam family "Bacterial small subunit ribosomal RNA", at positions 338 to 795 of the family's 1533-position model. The record is from RNAcentral.
CCUACGGGAGGCAGCAGUGAGGAAUAUUGGUCAAUGGACGAGAGUCUGAACCAGCCAAGUAGCGUGAAGGAUGACUGCCCUAUGGGUUGUAAACUUCUUUUAUAUGGGAAUAAAAUGUUCCACGUGUGGGAUUUUGUAUGUACCAUAUGAAUAAGGAUCGGCUAACUCCGUGCCAGCAGCCGCGGUAAUACGGAGGAUCCGAGCGUUAUCCGGGUUUAUUGGGUUUAAAGGGAGCGUAGGUGGAUUGUUAAGUCAGUUGUGAAAGUUUGCGGCUCACCCGUAAAAUUGCAGUUGAAACUGGCAGUCUUGAGUACAGUAGAGGUGGGCGGAAUUCGUGGUGUAGCGGUGAAAUGCUUAGAUAUCACGAAGAACUCCGAUUGCGAAGGCAGUUCACUGGACUGCAACUGACACUGAGGCUCGAAAGUGUGGGUAUCAAACAGGAUUAGAUACCCUAGUAGUC